GGAAGAAAUGACCGACCAGGUAAAGCUUGCCCGGACAGUUCCAUGCCAGCACCCCUAACUCUACGCCGGGGGUUACCGUUGUUCGGAAUUUCUGGGCGUAAAGCGCAAUCAUUGGGUUUAAAGGGUUGGGGGUGAAAUCCCUGGGCUCAACCUGGGAACUGCCUCCUAAACUGCUAGUCUGGAGUUCAAGAGAGGUGAGUGGAAUUCCAAGUGAAUAGGUGAAAUUCGUAGAGUUUUGGAGAAAUGCCUAUGGCUAACGCGGAUCACUGGUUCCAUACGGACGCUGAUGUGCAAAAGUGGGCGCUGAUGACCGAAUUAGAUACCCUGGAAGUCCACACCGUACCCUAUGAAUGCCCGCCGUCGGGUAUGGACUGCUCUGUGACACACCUAACGGAUUAGCUAUUCCACCUGGGGAGUACGGUCCCUGGAUUAAAACUCAAAUGAAUUGACAACUCAAAUGAAUUGACGGAAUU
RNAcentral lists this ribosomal RNA (473 nucleotides) under uncultured bacterium. RNAcentral's name for it is "bacterial SSU rRNA". It matches the Rfam family "Bacterial small subunit ribosomal RNA", at positions 462 to 939 of the family's 1533-position model. The record is from RNAcentral.